CCCAGUGGGCCACUUUUGGUAAGCAGAACUGGNGCUGUGGGAUGAACCAAACGACGGGUUAAGGGGCCCGAUGCAGGACGCUCAUGAGACCCCAUGAAAGGUGUUGGUUGCUAUAGACAGCAGGACGGUGGCCAUGGAAGUCGGAAUCCGCUAAGGAGUGUGUAACAACUCACCUGCCGAAGCAACUAGCCCUGAAAAUGGAUGGCGCUUCAGCGUCGACCCCAUACCCGUCCGCCGCGGCGGAGAUGCGAUCGCAUUAUGCCGCGGUGAGUAGGAGGGCGCGGGGGCGCGCGUGGAAGGUGCCGGGCGUAAGCCCGCCUGGAGCCGCCCCCGGUGCAGAUCUUGGUGGUAGUAGCAAAUACUCAAGUGAGAACCUUGAGGACUGAGGUGGAGAAGGGUUCCAUGUGAACAGCAGUUGAACAUGGGUCAGUCGGUCCUAAGGGAUGUCCGAAAGGAUUUCCGAAGGGGGACUUUAUGUAGGAGGGUCCCGCCCAUGACCGAAAGGGAAUCGGGUUAAUAUUCCCGAACCCGGACACGGAGAUCGGCCCCCUCGGGGGCACGUGCGGUAACGCAAACGACCUCGGAGACGUCGACGGGGGUCCCGGGAAGAGUUGUCUUUUCUUUGUAAGGGCUCGGUUCCCUGGAAUCGGCUCGCCCGGAGAUAGGGAUGCUGAGCCCGUAAAGCACCGCGCCUCUUGCGGUGUCCGGAGCGCUCCCGUCGGCCCUUGAAAAUCCGAGCGAGAGUUGGUGAUUUUCGUGCCGGACCGUACCCAUAUCCGCAGCA
This 784-nucleotide ribosomal RNA is filed under the name Algidia sp. MCZ IZ 135672. RNAcentral describes it as "eukaryotic LSU rRNA". It matches the Rfam family "Eukaryotic large subunit ribosomal RNA", at positions 1122 to 1861 of the family's 3401-position model. Lineage: Eukaryota; Metazoa; Arthropoda; Arachnida; Opiliones; Triaenonychidae. The record is from RNAcentral.